AUGGAUGAAAGAUCAUUAGUAUGUUUAAACACAGGAGAAGGAACUAGAUAUAAUUUAACGGAGAAUACGGUAUCAAGUAUAGAUUUAACAUUAAUAUCAAAUGAUUUUGCUGAUUUAUGUGAAUUGAAAGUAAAUAGCGAGAACACAGUUGGGAGUGAUCAUUUUCCAAUUAUCUGUAAAAUAAAUGUAAAUAAUAAUCCAGAAUGUUUACUGCAAAAGAAAUGGUUGUAUGAGAAGGCAGAUUGGAAUUCCUUUAGUAAGCAUUGUGAAGAUAAUAAAGACUCAGUGGCUGAAGAUUCAGUAGAAACUUUUUGUGAUACAAUUACAAAUCUAAUAAUGGAAGCUGCAACAUUAUUUAUACCUCAAAGAAUAGCAGGUCAGAAAAUCAGAAAUAUUCCAUGGUGGAAGGAAGAAUGCAGUAAUGCAAUUAAAGAAAGAAAUAAAGCAUUUAAACAACUCAGGGAAAAUAUGAGUAUGAGAAAUUUGGUAGAGUAUAAGAAAGCAAGAGCUAAAACAAGAAAAAUAAUUAAGAAUGCGAAGAGAGAAGGAUGGAGAGAAUUUUGUUCUACCAUAGGAAAAGAUACUACUAUGGAUAAAAUAUGGAAUAUGUUAAGGAAUAUGAGUGGGAAAGGAAAGAAGUCGGCUCUAAUACCAGUUUUAAUUGAAGAAGAAAAAGUUGCAGUAAUAGAUAUAGAUAAAGCAAACAUGUUAGGUAAGGUUUUAGAAAGAGCACAUAGAAUAGAAUUGGGAGAAGAAUAUGAGCUAAGGAAAAAGGAAAUUUUAGACAAAAAUCUAGAUAUAAUGAAGAAAAGAAAUAGCAAUAGUAGCUGUAUGGAUAUAGAGUUUACGCUUACAGAACUGAAAGUUGCAUUACAAAAAUGUGCCAAUACCGCUCCUGGGAUUGAUAGGGUAAGUUAUAAACAUUUGUCAGAUAGUAUAUUGUUAAAGAUACUUGAGUUAUAUAAUAAAAUAUAUAUGGAAGGAAUUAUACCAAAAAUAUGGAAGAAAGCUGUAGUAAUCCCUAUUGUAAAGCCAGGAAAAGAUUCAACAAACCCAGGAAGUUAUCGACCAAUUGCUCUGACUUCAAAUUUAUGUAAAUUAAUGGAAAAGAUUAUAGUUCAGAGAUUAACAUAUGAUCUAGAGAAAAAGGGUAAAUUCAGUAAGUAUCAAUGUGGAUUUAGAGGUAAAAGAUCAACUAUGGAUGCAUUAAUCAAGGUUAUAGUAAUGAAGUAG
Cyprinus carpio (common carp) is the source of this 1233-nucleotide long non-coding RNA. The record is from Ensembl. NCBI's taxonomy places the organism in Eukaryota, Metazoa, Chordata, Actinopteri, Cypriniformes, Cyprinidae.